This 329-nucleotide unclassified non-coding RNA is filed under the name soil metagenome. Its description in RNAcentral is "partial contains 5.8S ribosomal RNA, internal transcribed spacer 2, and large subunit ribosomal RNA". The stretch from base 1 to 120 matches the Rfam family "5.8S ribosomal RNA", at positions 35 to 154 of the family's 154-position model. The record is from RNAcentral.
GAUGAAGAACGUAGCGAAAUGCGAUACGUAAUGUGAAUUGCAGAAUUCAGUGAAUCAUCGAAUCUUUGAACGCAUAUUGCGCUCUUUGGUAUUCCGAGGGGCAUGCCUGUUCGAGCGUCAUUAUAACCCCUCAAGCUCAGCUUGGUGUUGGGGCCUGCUGCACUGGCAGCCCUUAAAAUCAGUGGCGGCGCCAUCUGGCUCUAAGCGUAGUAAUUCUUCUCGCUAUGGAGUCCUGGUGGAUGCUUGCCAUCAACCCCCAAUUUUUCUAUGGUUGACCUCGGAUCAGGUAGGGAUACCCGCUGAACUUAAGCAUAUCAAUAAGCGGAGGA